RNAcentral lists this ribosomal RNA (742 nucleotides) under uncultured bacterium. Its description in RNAcentral is "bacterial SSU rRNA". It matches the Rfam family "Bacterial small subunit ribosomal RNA", at positions 9 to 795 of the family's 1533-position model. The record is from RNAcentral.
GAUUUUGAUCCUGGCUCAGAGCGAACGCUGGCGGCAGGCUUAACACAUGCAAGUCGAGCGGGCGUAGCAAUACGUCAGCGGCAGACGGGUGAGUAACGCGUGGGAACGUACCUUUUGGUUCGGAACAACACAGGGAAACUUGUGCUAAUACCGGAUAAGCCCUUACGGGGAAAGAUUUAUCGCCGAAAGAUCGGCCCGCGUCUGAUUAGCUAGUUGGUGAGGUAACGGCUCACCAAGGCGACGAUCAGUAGCUGGUCUGAGAGGAUGAUCAGCCACAUUGGGACUGAGACACGGCCCACACUCCUACGGGAGGCAGCAGUGGGGAAUAUUGGACAAUGGGCGCAAGCCUGAUCCAGCCAUGCCGCGUGAGUGAUGAAGGCCCUAGGGUUGUAAAGCUCUUUUGUGCGGGAAGAUAAUGACGGUACCGCAAGAAUAAGCCCCGGCUAACUUCGUGCCAGCAGCCGCGGUAAUACGAAGGGGGCUAGCGUUGCUCGGAAUCACUGGGCGUAAAGGGUGCGUAGGCGGGUCUUUAAGUCAGGGGUGAAAUCCUGGAGCUCAACUCCAGAACUGCCCUUGAUACUGAGGAUCUUGAGUUCGGGAGAGGUGAGUGGAACUGCGAGUGUAGAGGUGAAAUUCGUAGAUAUUCGCAAGAACACCAGUGGCGAAGGCGGCUCACUGGCCCGAUACUGACGCUGAGGCACGAAAGCGUGGGGAGCAAACAGGAUUAGAUACCCUGGUAGUC